UACAGAGGGUGCAAGCGUUAAUCGGAAUUACUGGGCGUAAAGGGCGCGUAGGUGGUUUGUUAAGCGAGAUGUGAAAUCCCUGGGCUCAACCUAGGAACUGCAUCUUGAACUGGCGAACUAGAGUACUGUAGAGGAUAGUGGAAUUUCCGGUGUAGCGGUGAAAUGCGUAGAUAUCGGAAGGAACACCAGUGGCGAAGGCGGCUAUCUGGACAGAUACUGACACUGAGGCGCGAGAGCGUGGGGAGCAAACAGG
Molecule: ribosomal RNA, 253 nt
Filed under: uncultured bacterium
Lineage: Bacteria
Description: partial 16S ribosomal RNA
Rfam family: Bacterial small subunit ribosomal RNA
Source: RNAcentral